This 497-nucleotide ribosomal RNA is filed under the name uncultured bacterium. RNAcentral describes it as "partial 16S ribosomal RNA". It matches the Rfam family "Bacterial small subunit ribosomal RNA", at positions 28 to 507 of the family's 1533-position model. The record is from RNAcentral.
GACGAACGCUGGCGGCGUGCCUAAUACAUGCAAGUUGAGCGAUGAAGAUUGGUGCUUGCACCAAUUUGAAGAGCAGCGAACGGGUGAGUAACGCGUGGGGAAUCUGCCUUUGAGCGGGGGACAACAUUUGGAAACGAAUGCUAAUACCGCAUAAUAACUUUAAACAUAAGUUUUAAGUUUGAAAGAUGCAAUUGCAUCACUCAAAGAUGAUCCCGCGUUGUAUUAGCUAGUUGGUGAGGUAAAGGCUCACCAAGGCGAUGAUACAUAGCCGACCUGAGAGGGUGAUCGGCCACAUUUGGACUGAGACACGGCCCAAACUCCUACGGGAGGCAGCAGUAGGGAAUCUUCGGCAAUGGACGAAAGUCUGACCGAGCAACGCCGCGUGAGUGAAGAAGGUUUUCGGAUCGUAAAACUCUGUUGGUAGAGAAGAACGUUGGUGAGAGUGGAAAGCUCAUCAAGUGACGGUAACUACCCAGAAAGGGACGGCUAACUACGUG